RNAcentral lists this ribosomal RNA (245 nucleotides) under uncultured archaeon. RNAcentral's name for it is "partial 16S ribosomal RNA". It matches the Rfam family "Archaeal small subunit ribosomal RNA", at positions 474 to 719 of the family's 1478-position model. The record is from RNAcentral.
UCCCGACGGCCCAAGUGGGACUCGCAAUUAUUGGGUCUAAAACAUUCGUAGCUGGUUUUAUAAGUUUCUUGUUAAAUUGCAAGGCUCAACCUUGUAGCUGCAAGAAAUACUAUAAGGCUAGGGACUGGGAGAUGUAACGAGUAUAUUCGGGGUAAUGGUAAAAUAUGUUAAUCCUGGAUAGACUAACAAUGGCGAAGGCACGUUACAAUAACAGAUCCGACGGUGAGGAAUGAAGGCCAGGGGCG